This 258-nucleotide ribosomal RNA is filed under the name uncultured bacterium. Its description in RNAcentral is "partial small subunit ribosomal RNA". It matches the Rfam family "Bacterial small subunit ribosomal RNA", at positions 26 to 285 of the family's 1533-position model. The record is from RNAcentral.
AGGACGAACGCUGGCGGCGUGCCUCAUACAUGCAAGUGGAGCGACGAACCAGGAUUUAUCCUGGGGCAAAGCCGCGAACGGGUGAGUAACACGUGAGCAAUCUGCCCUUAGCUUCGGGAUAGCUCCGGGAAACCGGAAUUAAUACCGAAUAUGACCUCGGCUGACAUCGGCUGCGGUGGAAAGUUUUUCGGCUAGGGAUGAGCUCGCGGCCUAUCAGCUUGUUGGUGGGGUAAUGGCCUACCAAGGCGACGACGGGUA